UUUAAAAGAUAUUCCAACUGAAAUCACUAUUGAAUAUAUUGAUGGAACUGAGGAGGAUGUAUUGCUUACAAACUUGAAAGAUAUUCCCAAACUUUCAGAACUUGUAAAGCCAGGCAAUACACAAAAAAUUACAGUAAAUGUUACUCUCCCACAACCAAUAGAGGAUGUUUCUGGCCUUUUGGAAGAGGAACCAGCAGCCUUGUUCGUAGUCUUUAGCGAACCAAACUCAUAUACUCAAACUGAAGUUACAGUGGAUAUCGUUGUGAUUGAUGAAAACAACGACGUCACCAUUAAGCCCCUGGAGGAGAUAGAGCGACUUACCGAUAACGACCAGACAUAUGAACGCUCAUGGUCUCUAGACAAGUUGGACAAGACUCUAGGAUUUAUUUUCACCUUUAAACCGGUUCAAGUACCUGGAACGACAACAACCCCCAGCGAACCAUCUGAAACUAUUGGAGAAUUCCUCGUUGAUAUUUGCACAAAAACGACGCCGUCAUCUACCACCGAAACAUCGACAACAACAACAACGACGACGACGACGACUGG
Long non-coding RNA from Pecten maximus, 546 nucleotides. RefSeq lists it as uncharacterized. The record is from RefSeq and is a predicted model, not a curated record. NCBI's taxonomy places the organism in Eukaryota, Metazoa, Mollusca, Bivalvia, Pectinida, Pectinidae. The transcript has 3 exons.